This 497-nucleotide ribosomal RNA is filed under the name uncultured bacterium. RNAcentral's name for it is "partial 16S ribosomal RNA". It matches the Rfam family "Bacterial small subunit ribosomal RNA", at positions 28 to 507 of the family's 1533-position model. The record is from RNAcentral.
GAUGAACGCUGGCGGCGUGCCUAAUACAUGCAAGUCGAGCGAACAGACGAUGAGCUUGCUCCUCUGACGUUAGCGGCGGACGGGUGAGUAACACGUGGAUAACCUACCUAUAAGACUGGGAUAACUUCGGGAAACCGGAGCUAAUACCUGAUAAUAUCUUGAACCGCAUUGUUCAAUAGUGAAAGACGGUUUUGCUGUCACUUAUAGAUGGAUCCGCGCCGCAUUAGCUAGUUGGUAAGGUAACGGCUUACCAAGGCGACGAUGCGUAGCCGACCUGAGAGGGUGAUCGGCCACACUGGAACUGAGACACGGUCCAGACUCCUACGGGAGGCAGCAGUAGGGAAUCUUCCGCAAUGGGCGAAAGCCUGACGGAGCAACGCCGCGUGAGUGAUGAAGGUCUUCGGAUCGUAAAACUCUGUUAUUAGGGAAGAACAAAUGUGUAAGUAACUAUGCACGUCUUGACGGUACCUAAUCAGAAAGCCACGGCUAACUACGUG